This 84-nucleotide transfer RNA is filed under the name Colletotrichum orchidophilum. It matches the Rfam family "tRNA". From Rfam's summary of the family: Transfer RNA (tRNA) molecules are approximately 80 nucleotides in length. Their secondary structure includes four short double-helical elements and three loops (D, anti-codon, and T loops). Lineage: Eukaryota; Fungi; Ascomycota; Sordariomycetes; Glomerellales; Glomerellaceae. The record is from Rfam by way of RNAcentral.
GGUCUAUUAGUCUAGUUGGUCAGGACGUUGGAUUCUGAUUGUCAGAACCUUCCGUAGGCCCAGGUUCGAAUCCUGGAUGGACCU